RNAcentral lists this non-coding RNA (46 nucleotides) under Schistosoma curassoni. The record is from RNAcentral. Lineage: Eukaryota; Metazoa; Platyhelminthes; Trematoda; Strigeidida; Schistosomatidae.
GCACUACUGAGGAGUCCCACAACAGGACAAAGCAGCUGUCCAGUGC